This 415-nucleotide ribosomal RNA is filed under the name Neverita didyma. RNAcentral describes it as "partial 28S ribosomal RNA". The record is from RNAcentral. Lineage: Eukaryota; Metazoa; Mollusca; Gastropoda; Littorinimorpha; Naticidae.
AAACCGCAUACAGGUAAACGGGUGGACCCGCAAAGUCGGCCCGUGGAAUUCAGCUCGGAAGGCAGGCGCGGACGGUGAGGCAAGAGAUCUUUAGCGGACUCUCCUUUCGUUCGACGCCGGUCGGCCGUGUGCACUUUCCGCGGGCAGAGCGCCACGACCGGUUCUCGGGCGGUCAGAAGGCGGCGAGGAAGGUAGGUUUGGAGUUCGCUCGAAACUGUUAUAGCCUCGCCUGUCCCGAUCCGCUCGGGGACCGAGGAGCUGCCGCCGGUGUAGCGCCGCUUCGCUCUCCCGGGAUGUUCGACUGGCGGAGACUGGGCAACCGUGUCCGCCGACCGCUUUCUGGGAUGGACGAGGUGGGCCCGCCGGCACAGGGUCAGUGGCGAAUCGGUCGGUCCUCCACCCGACCCGUCUUGAA